RNAcentral lists this unclassified non-coding RNA (218 nucleotides) under Hevea brasiliensis (rubber tree). Lineage: Eukaryota; Viridiplantae; Streptophyta; Magnoliopsida; Malpighiales; Euphorbiaceae. The record is from RNAcentral.
GUGUUAAACUGCUUACUUUGGAGUUUGGACACAAAUGGCAAUCCUUGACUAUUAGACUAUGAAAGUGAUCUAGAGAAUUGUUUAGCAGUUAGCGGGAAACCUCGUUUGUAGUAAGAGUCAGUAUGUCUCUUUUGGUAGUUUGGAUGUGUUACAAGGUUCGUUUCUUUGUGCUAGUUUUAUGUAUAUUCCAAUUGAUAGAUCACAACUAUCAAUUCCAG